AUUGUGGUGACAAUAUCUGUAUGCCUGAAGUCUUCUGAAGUGGAAAGUGACCUGUUUUGUUUGUGGAAGCUCUGGAAUCCCACAGGAGAAGGAUCGCUCAGCACCAUGGCCAUUUGCCAAGUACAACUUGUUCUGAAACACAGUGGUUCUGAGAAGUUGCAUUAUCAACUGAAGCACAAUGUCAGCGUAGCAGGAGACUCCGGAGAUCUAGAGAGGCAUCCACACUUGUGUGUUUUUGGAGGAACUAAACCAUUUGAUUUCUUAAGGACCCAGACUAGAAGAACAGGUUACUUCUGAGUUAUGGGAAGCUUUGAUUUAGAUUCCAAUGCCUAUAUGGCACUGAGGAUUCAUUUAUGCUUCACUUAUGUGGAAAAAAUGCCUGUGAUAGUGUCUGUAAAGCCAUGUUCCCUGAUAAUCUUCAUUUUAAAUCUGGAUUGCCCUUGGGGAAUCAUAAAGACAGACUAUUGGUAAACUGAGGGGAGCCUCUGGAAACAUCCAGAUUUGCAGAAUCUUCCAGCAUCUCCUUGAAAGCUUUAAUUAUCAGUGGUGUCUCUGCUACUUGCAUCACAUACUCCACAGAGCAGCCUGCAUUAUCACACCAUCUCACCAAAUCCCCUUGCACAGUUCUGUGUACAGUCUGGUAGUCACUGGGGUGACAUUUAGAAGCAGCGUUGGCAUGAUCCAAGAGCCUAGACAAAGCCUGUAGAAAUCAUUAUGUUUUGGGCUAAGCUUGAAGUCACUCCAAAUUUUAAUCUCCAAUAUGUACAAUGGAAAAAAAAAUUCACCUUCCAUUCAUAUUUCAUUGUAUUUUUUUUUGAUUGUAUGUUUUGUCAAGCACUUUUUUUUCCCAAAUACCUCGUAUAUCUGCUGCAUUGCAUCUGUGAAGAUAUGGUUUUUUCACUAGACUGUGAUAAUUAAGAAAGAGUUCUACUAAAAUUAAGCUGUAACCUAUUUGCAAGCUCCGUGUCUCUGAUCUAUUCAGUCAAAUACCAAGUUUCAACUCAAACUUAGGGAGAGUGGUGAUAGCUGUGUGAUUGCGACCUCUGUGCCGUGCUUAUCAACCAUCUUCACUGCAGUUAUCAGUACUUUGUUUUUAACUGUCUCUUCGUUCUUUCUCCGUGGUUGCAGUUGUAUGACCAUUUCUGCUAUUAUACCCAAAAGCAAAAACUGAAACAGGAGGAAUAUGAUUAACGAUUUAACUUGAACCUGUCAAAUACUGUGUCAUUAAAAGCAAAAAGCACUUCCCAUGAAUCAGAACAUUUAAGCUAUUAGAAUGGAUAAAAAUACAACAGAAUUCACAGCUAUGCUUGUGAUUUUUUUUAUUUUUUUUUAUUUUAAGAAAGGAGAUCCAAUUCUCUGCAAGAAAAUGCCAUGGGAACUAGAAAGAGGCAUUUUAUCCUGUUAAUCAUAGUUGUUUCUAUACAAACUUUUGUAUCUAAUCUACUGUGUACAAAACUAUAUAAUAAUGAAUAAAUGCUAAAAGCUUUGGUUUAAAUGACAAGUUGAUACCCUCCCUUCUCACUGAUGAAAAAGGAUAGAGAUUGAAGUGUAGAGUAAUAGCUCUUAUUCACCAAAAUGUGAACUUUCAAAAUGGAUUAAAUGUAUGAGUCCCCAUCAACAUCGUGCUUCUCCAGCUUCUUGCCUCAGAUACUGUAAUGGUAUUACUCCAGUUUCAUUGACGAUCACCUCUUUUGAGAUCUUGACCUAUUCACUGCGCUAUGCUGGCUUCAUGUUGAUGUUAAUUAAAUGAAUCCGAAUCUUUCUAGCUUGACACUACAAUGAUGUUUAAUUCAUUACAGCCAUGCUGUGGUACGAUGUGUACACCUUUGCAUUUUGGCUUGUUUAUGUUGUAAGUUAGUAGUUAAACUCAGCUGACUGACUGAAUGAUCAACCCAUCUAAAACCAGCUUCAAACUACCUGCACUUCACUGUAUGUUACCUCAAAAUGUUGCCAUGCAAAUUCAGGCAGCUCUUCACAGUUUUUUUCCUGAAAAUAUAUUGCCAUAAAUUACCAGUCUGUCAUAUGAAAGAAUAUAAUACUUAUCAUUUUUCAAUGUAAGUGCAAUUUUGGGAAGCUUAACUAGCACUUCACAAACUCAGUAGUUUGAGUUCUCUAGAUGACAGCUUUUUGUGAGAGGUAAAAACCCAAAGAGGCUUAAGGAGGGAACUCUGAGAGAUUAAAAAAGUACCUUCAUGUGAAAAAGCUUGCAAACAAAAUAGGGCAUUAAAUGAACUUAUUCUCUUUCCAGUGCUUUAGCUGCAAGGGGCCUCGAGCAUACCACAUGCUUUUUCACUUUUAGGGGCCCUCUACGUAAUACAAAUUGAAACCAGGGCAUGCCUUUCCUUAGAACUUCUGCCAGGCAUUUUAUUUUUGUAGCUGUCAACUUUAAAAUCAUGCUUUCCUGUUACUGAUGUUUUGAUGGAGGUGGGAGAAAAGAGUACGCAAGUGAACUCUGAUUACUUGAAUGAGAUGCUUUGGUCACUGGUAUCCUGGCUGACCCUCUCACAUGGGGGUGGGGAGCAGCAGCAGUCUAGACGGAAGAGGCCAACGACUGGCUGUCCACUCAGGUUUCAGAUUAUAAAUGAGCAGUCUUCAAUUUCUCACAGAUGUUUGGCAGCCGCUUUGCUUUCACUCUAAUUGUAAGCAGGAAUUCUUAUGUUUGAAGAAUGUGGUGACCAAUAGACCUUCCUAGGGUACUCUACCACUAUAGCUCCAGUGUUGGUGAUUCCAUUGCUGUGGUUUAAAUCUAUCAACUAGAAAACACCAUGUUUUUUUAAAAGUGAAAUCACUAGCACUAUUAAAUCAUUCAGUCCCAGCACAUCUUCCUUUAAAGUGUGGGGGACAGAGUGUUUGUUUCAUGUAGAAUGUUAAUUGUCAGCAGGUUUACUCCAGAGAUAAACUUAAUCCUUUAAAUCUAAAGUCAGGCCAUAUCUGUAAAGAUUCAAGGGUUAGGAGCAGAUUAUUUUCAUCUCCUCCAAAUUAUAAAUGAAAAAUAAACUCAUUCAAUGUUAGCUGAAGUGAAAAAAAUACACAUAUAUCAUACAGUGUACGUGUUAGGUUGCUCAGAAAUAGUGUGUGAGAGUGAUGACAUCAAAAGAUGGUCAAAAGAACAAGGGGGAAUGUUUUUAAACUGAGACAGGAGAUUUAGGUUGGAUAUUAGAAAGAAGUUUUUCACUCAGAGGGUGAUGCACUGGAACAGGUUGCCCAGAGAGGCUGUGGAUGCUCCAUCCCUGGAGUCAUUCAAGGCCAGGCUGGAUGUGGUUCUGGGCAGCCUGGUCUGGUGGUUGGUGACUGUAUAUAGCAGGAGGGUUGAAACUAGAUGAUCAUUGUGGUCCUUCUCAACUCAGGCCGUUCUAUGAAAAGAGACCCAGUGACAAAUUUCAUAGGAUGUAAAGGAAUAUUGCAGAUAAAGCCUGAGAUGAAUUAGUUGUAUACCGUGUAGCUGCAGACUAACAUUGUUGCUGAGUGUCACGAAGGCUUAAUUUGUUUGUUUGUUUAACUUGUACUUCAAAAUAUACAAUGAUAAAAUGAUGAGAAUUACAUCCCAUAAAGUUACCCCAAAUAUGAAAGAACCCAGUCUUUAAAACCCCGCUGUGGCCCUUCUUAACAGGGAUUCCGUUCUAAGUGGUGUAUUAGGCAAUACCAAGGGAAAUACUACACUUAAAAGGGAACAGAAAACCUCAGCUGAAGAGAAACCCACUGGGUUGUGAAAUAAUUUCCCAGAGGAAGCACUGGAAAAAAAAAAUGGGUUGGGAUAUUUAGAAAAUGAUGUACAAAUUCUACUGGAAGUGCAAGGAAGGGGGCUGUCAUAAUUUAGCAGAGCAAAUGAAUGCUUUUGUCUUAAAUUAUAAAGGGUGAUCAUUUAUCACCCUGUGCAGCAGUAUGUAUAACUGAAGUUUCUAGAUACUAGAAUCUAAAUAACAUUAAAACAAUACUGUUUUACUGACACAGUGUAAGACGUUCAAAGAAACUCAAACUCAUUGUCAGGAUAGAGGCAGAAUAAAUACAGUAAGGUCCAAAAGGUCAAUAAGGCAUGAAACCAAACAGAUGUUUCAGCCUAACAUCUCUCUGCACAUCAUUGUUUGAAAAUGUUUGCAUUGUUACAGAAAAGAGAAGACGUUCUAUUAAAAAGGAGGGUGACUGUGUUACUUCAAAGGCAUUUUAAAAAUAUUAAAAAGGUAGGCUGAGAAGACAGAAAUAUUUGAGAAUGUGGGUGAGUGAAUGCAAAGGACUGACUGAAAUGGCAUUAACACUUCAGAAAGAAUCGACACUCGUAGAAUCUCUCUUCUAUACUUAUGUACUGUAAUUACCUAUCUGAUUUGUCAACCAAGGAACAAAACCUGUCAGCUGACCUAAGUUUCUGGGAAUGGCAUUCAAAAUACUUAUUUGGAAUGGCAAAUGCUCAAAUUCAAGCAGUAGACCAAGAAUUAUUGCACAGAAAAGUUGCAGAUUACCUUGCAUAAUUAUUCCAUUAUUUAAAGUUAAGGAAAAUCACAAUUUCCAUGGGUUUUCAAGCUGCUUACAGCAGGAAAAUGUGAAAUAAGCAAUUUCUGUUGUGCACUACUGUUCCGUUUUUCAUCUUUUACAUUUAUGCUUCCAAAGGUGGGAAUGCCAUUCAUUGCCAGCCAACACGUGGCUGGAAGGAAACAUAUCCACUUCAUUUGUAGUUGUUAACUUCAUAAACACACGUUCAAUCUCAAGGUAUUGAUUUAAUGUUUGAUUUAAUUAGUAUGGAUGAACAUGUACUGUAAGAGGCAGUAUAAAGUUGGCUUUCUGAAUCUGCAUUUUGGAAAGGAUAUAACUUUGUGCAGCUGCAGUCCGCCUUAUUCUUUCACCACUAUGACUCAUAUGAAGCCUGUCUCUGAUUCCUGAUGUCGGUGGCUUUCAGAAAACACUCAUGUGCACUGGCAGAUGCUCAGAGGCAAUGCCGAGUGGAGGAGAGCAGAGUGCUGCAUAAUCUUUCUCAGAAGUGCUGACUUUGGGGAGUGUGCUCUCUUUUAGGAUUGUUAUCGACAUGUAGCAUGUCAUGAAUUGACAACUUUGUAACACAGAGCAACAAAAACAAAAAUAUGCCUAGUCCUCAAGAGUCAGUUUCAAACAUACCCUGAUGUUUGUUCACCGCCUUUAAUCUAUGUACUUGCUGUACGUUAUCUUGUAUUUCUGUUGCCAAAUAGAAAAGCAAGGCCAAGCAACUUCCUAGGUAACAUUUCACUGUAAAGUCUAAACAAGAAACAGAGAGCUUCAGGCACAGAAGUCUGAUUCUUUCUUUAAAGAAUGUCUUUCCAGUUCUUAGAGAAAGUGAGAUGCUAUUUACAAAUAUCAGCUCAUCACAAUAGUCAUAAUAAUCAGUAGUGACAGAAACUGGUAUUUCUUCUAUGAACUUCUUAAAUGCCCAGAGGAAGUCUGUGAUUCUCUCGAAGUCUGCGUACGUUUUUAGAGAAGCAGCGUUUCAAUAGAGCAUUCUUCCACUUCCUUGGGAUCUGUGGAUUUUCAAUCUGUACUACAUUUUGUAGGCCCUUUUUGCAAAGGUCCAACUUCUGCUAAGGAGUUUUGUUUCUACCCACAAACCAAGCAAAUGCUUUAUUUUAUGUUCUCUUGCUGUUCUUCUGGAAUGGGUCAGUUUGGGGAAAUCUCUCUGUCCCAAUUUAUAGUUAUAGAUCUCUCCCCCUUUGGUAAAAAACAAACAAACAAACAAAAAAAUCAUUAGAUUUUUGCCAUUGCUUUUUACUGAACUUUCUUUCCUCUGAAAAACAACAGCGCAUAGGUCAUCGGCUUCCUUAAGGCUUCUGGGAGAUCCAGACUGGCUGGGGAACAUGAAAUUCCUGGCUCCUGCUACAGUACCCAGACCACUAGACCACAUAUUUUUGUGUCAUGGAAAAUUAAAGCCCAUUACUUUGCAAGCUUUCUUGAUCUGUUUCUUCCCUCACCCUGUUUCUAUUGCUUUUUACUGUGAUGAAGAUACAAAGUUCAGAUUUGAGAGUUAAAAAUCAGCUUUUAACAAAUCCAACAACUACAAUCUUCUGAAGAAUAAUACUUUUAAUACCCUAAAUAUUCAGACUACUGCCAGGUCAGUCAGCAUUUCAGCGUGGGUUGACAUUGUUUUCCUCUGGCAGUAAGCAGCCCACAUUAUGACUUCACCUCUUAAAUUUGCUCAAGAGGUUGAUUUUCACUAGAAGUGCAGUUUUUCCAAGCCAUAUUCAACUUAACCAUAUCAUAACUCAGGAAUUUAAUUUGUUCCAUAUUGUUACAAGUGCCAUUCUCAGCAGUUGAAUGGAUGACACUUUAUAUUUUUGGAAUCCUGAGAGCACGUAAUUUGUUUGGUUAGCCUUGUAUAAAAUGUAAGGAAUCAAAGGAACAAAUAAUUACAGCACUUGCAUAGAAGUACUUUUAUAUAAGUACUUAUGUAUACAUAUGGAUACAAGUACUUGCACAGAGAUAGCUAAACCUAUGUGUCUGUGCGUGUACAGUGGUCGCAUUCCUUUCUGGAGAACUAACCUAUGUAUCUUGUAAAAACAGCUGCUGCUUUCAUGCUUGUGUUCAGGAACUAGAUAACUGCAGCAACUCAUACCUCUUAAAGUCUAUACACAGGAGUCAUACCAAGCUCCCUCUGUGCUGCGCUCACUCAUACAUUGGGCUGAAGUCCAAUAUAGGAUGCAAGAGCCUGUGUGAUAAAUACUGAAGAUUCUGUUGAAUCUAAAUUUGUUCUUCCUGCUGUGGGGAUGAAGUGGGAAGGGAAGGAUCUUUCCCAUAUUGACACAGAACUGCAGAAUCACUUUUGGCUGCAGCCCUAGCAAUUCUCCUUCACAGGAGAAAUACAGUGCAGGAUUAAAUGAGGUCAUGGUAUCAUCUCCUUCACACCUACUUCACUCUGGUGUGUAAAGGGCUGAUAAGUAUAGAGCUCCAUAUCAAAAGCAUAUGAUGGAGAAGAGGAGAGCAGCAGAAUAACAAGGGAAGUGAAGGAGGAGAGCGUAGGGCCCUUACUACCUCGCUUGUGAAGGAAGUUUGUGGUAGUUCUCAGGUGAUCUUCUGAGGAGGAAGCACCUUCCUCCUUCACAGUACAGUAGCAAUAGUCCUUAUAGCAGUAGGUUAUUGUAAAUGCAAUAGCAGAGAAGCUGAAUAGUUUGCCUGCAAGCCCGUCAGUUUGAUUCUCCGCUGCUUACAUCAAUUAUCAUCAAUUAUCUAACUACAUUUUGUGAAUGGAGAGAGUUGCCACCCGCGUGUUGCUCCUGCAGUGGUCGGGAAAACAAAUGUAUUACUUCUCAAAAUGGCAUGGCAGAAGUCCAAGCGUAUCUAACAGAGGAAGGAAGCAAUCUUAUCAGCUUUUCUGUCCCACUGAUAAAACCAUACAAGGAAGUCGUUCCACUUUAAAUGAGGAAAAGGACGUCUUUGAUAAAAUUUAGAACUUGCCUUGGGAAUCACAUCAAUGAAAAUGACAUGUACAAAUAACCAAGCAUUUCAGUCUGUAUGAAGUAGUUUGUUUGUAAUAUCAAAACAGAAGUAUUUACAGGUUCUGACAAGCUUCCCCGUGGGGGAUCAGUUAACAUCCCUUCUGGCCUGUCUACUUGGUCAUGUACUUUCAGUCUAAACUGCUCUUUAUGAAAAGAAGAAAAGAAAAAAAAACCUGCAGCAGCCAACCUAUAUGGUUUUAGCUCCAUUCAUGCCAUAGAGUCUAAUUUGCAGUCACCAUUGCAAAAGAGCAUCUCAUGUAUUGGUAUUCCAGUCUUAUUUUGUACUAAAAACGCUUAAUUUUUCUAUGCAAAUCAUAAGAUCUUUUUUCAAUCUUUUUUGUACCUAAGCAAAUAUCUCCACUGGCAGUGUGUCAUGCCACGUGAGAGUACUAGUUCAGGUUUUCAAGAGCUCCAGAAUCUCUGUGGUGCACCUUAUUUUACAUAGCAGACAUACCCAGGUACCUCAUGUUUUACCUGUUCUUGCUUCUAGCAGAGUAAUGGUACUUGCUGAAAAGAAAACAAUCCCAACUUCAUUUGUCAGGUUAAGCAUUAUUAGCGUUCUUAUGGUAGCUCACAGGAGUUGGUGAAAAAAAAACAGCUCUGACAUUGUUUAGGUCUAUAGUCUGCAAUAACUUGAGGUAUAGUAAGUUAAUUUCAGAGUAAGGCCUGAAGUAAAUACUUAUCUGGUCAAAAGCAAAACACCACUGUAUUUCAAUGAUAUGUGUAAUUAGGGUUAUGGCACAGGUUAUUUGGCUUUGAUAGAUGUUAUUCUUCAGGUGCAGAUCCUGGUUAAUGCUGAAUGCUUGUGUCUUCCUGCUGAAUUAAUGAUAAUGACAGGUGUCCAAUUUCUAGAUUUUUUUUUAUAAUAAUAUAAGAAUGAAAUUAGCCUACAAUAAAAUAGAGUGCUCCACAAAGUCUGGACUUUUGAUACGAGUGUUGUACUUGUUAAUGUCACUCGUGUUUGAACUUAGAUAAAUCUGAAACAGGAAGGUUUGAGCAAGCUGUUGUGGUCGCUGUAUGUUGCUUUCUGACUGCUGAGGCAAAUAAGCAAAUUGAGUGCUAAAGCUAGAUUCUAUAAAUUAAGUGCGAGUCUGCACAUGCUUAAAAUACACAAAAAUUAAUAAUCAAAACCAGUAUACUCAAUUUAAUGUACCUUGAGAGCAGAACACUUGUUUAUUGGCUAUCAGUGAAAGCCAGAACCCUAUUCUUGCCAAGCUCUCUCACUUGCACGUUUGGCCACCUACCAGUCAUUGCUCUGGUAUUCCAAAAGAUUGGUACGGGUAUUUUAAGUUUUAUUUCAGUGUAUUUGCUCUCAUCAUUUUCAUUCUUAUUAUUAAGUGACAACUGCUGUUGCUAUUACAGGCUGAAAGUUCAAAGCAUGUUU
Gallus gallus (chicken) is the source of this 8832-nucleotide long non-coding RNA. RefSeq lists it as uncharacterized. The record is from RefSeq and is a predicted model, not a curated record. NCBI's taxonomy places the organism in Eukaryota, Metazoa, Chordata, Aves, Galliformes, Phasianidae. The transcript has 3 exons.